GGUCGCCCUCACAUGCAUAGAGAGAGCUAGCGAAAGGAAGAGGAGCGAGCUGCCAUUUCGGUCGGUCGGGGGAAGCAGAUGGCCGCCGGCGACGUGGCGACCGCCUUCCUGGAGACGAGCCUCGGCACCCGCCUCGCCGUCUCCUUCCCCGCCUCAUCCACCACCGCCGACCUCAAGCGUACGUACCUCCCUUUCUUGCUUGCUUGUCAACUUUUUUCUUUUCUCGAGCUGUUCUUGCUUGUCUAUGAUCUAUGAUGAUGGAUCAGUCCCAGCUCCUGGCCUUUUAGUUCUUGAAUCAGAUCAGAUGAAUUCAGUUUCUUCAAUCAAAAACAAUAAGGUGUGCAUCAUGGGCGCCUCCUCGAGCUCGAGCUAGCCACCGCAUCAGGGUAAAAAGGGGCGAGCGUUACGACCUAGCCUGGGGGUCUCCGCACGAGCCCCUUCUCCUCUUUGACGCCGCCGCCUCCUCUCCUCUCCUCUCUCGAUUCUCCUCCCCUGCGUCUCCCCUUCCGCGUGCCAUCGACCUCACUCCUCUACGUCUCUCCUCGUCGGUCGUCGCUCCGAGUCACGGAUCCAUGGGGUUGAGAGGAAGAUGUGCUCUUCCAUGGCGUCAAGAGGAGGAGGAGGCGCUUCUCCUACCAGAUCCGUGGCCACCAUGUCGCCCAGCUCCAUGGCUUCCUCUCUCCUUCUCAGGCGGGCGAUGGUGCGCGACAUGGCCAGGCGGGACCUGCGCAAGCAGCACCUCUGAUGAGGCACAUGUUGCGGGCUAGCAGCGAUUGGAGGGGGCGCCGUUGCAGAUCCUCAUCGUUUCUCUGGGAGAGGAGCUCGUCAAUGAUCCAUUUUUCUCCAUGGAUUCACGAUGGAGCUGCCCUAGGAGGAGCUUCUUAUCUUCAAGGAGAGGAACACGCAGCUGAAGAACUCGACAUGGAGGAUCUGAAACUUCGCAAGGAAGAAGGAGAGGUACGUCAGCAACAAGUUAAGCAAUAAGUACACGGCGGUGAUCAGAGGCAAUGGACAUUCAGACAUUCCUAUAAUUUUCUGUACUAUUCGUCACCCAGGCUGCAGAAUAAGUUAUUCUUCAUCCGAGGUUUGUGUUACUAUUUGUCUUGUUUAAAUGGCCAAAGGUUCAUGGGAAUUUCUAUGGAAUGUCACUCAAGGAGGGUCAGACAUAGUUCAAAGUUGAGUGAUAUCCUCAUGGCCAACAAGGAUUGAUCCUGAUUCAAGAUGGAAAGUUUUGCUUUCAUGCGAGUGUCAUAUACAUGUAUUGUUUCUUGGGCAUUGAAAGUUAAGGAAAACACUUGUUUGAUUGGUUGAGCGCAGCUUCCCAUUUGUUACUUCAGUUAGAAAAUUUCAGUUUGAGUCUGCACCAUAAUUCCUAACAAUUCAAUGAAGGUCCGGUUUUGUUUUAUCCUUUUUUAUUGCUUCAUAUUCAAUGAGUUCCAAGAUAUAUUAGAUAACUAUUAAUAGUUGUAGAUGUUGCAGGUUGCAGAUACUAAAUUUAGGAUUCAUUUAGUAUCCAAUGCUUUCAUUUUCACACCGGUACUGAAUGAUCCAAUACUAAAUUUAGGGGUCAUUUUCCAGCUACACCAUGUAUUUGAUUUUUCACUUCAUGACAAUAAGUGUCAAUUAUACUAGCAUGUCCUGAACUCUUUUGCUUGGUCAUGAGGAGAGCAGUGGGUGAAAAUGUUGGUUUAGAAAUUCAAAACAUCAAAGAAGUGGUCGGGGGUCUGGUCAUGGUAAGCAAACACUUUACAGUGUGAGUCCGGCUUAUCAUUUGGACUUGAUUUAAUGAUAUGAACAAUGAUGCGUACGCAUUUCCAGAAUAUAGUUUCUUCAAUGCAGCGUGUGUGUCUUUUACUCUAGCUUUUGUAUGCUAAUACUUCCACAAAAAUGUAUGGCAUCUUUGCAUUGUACAUUAUAAUGUCUGAUUAUUUGUUAGUCAGGUUGAGAUCAUAAAUGCAUCAUUAGUCCAUCGAUCCAGUGUGAUUGCUUAGAUCCAGCAGGGCAUACCUUGCUGCUAGCUUUAUACUAUCUAGAGCAUAUUUCUUUUUCUCUUUGUUUAAUUAAAUAGCAUAAUACUAUUGUUAUCAAGAAAUAUGAACAGGCGACAUUAUAGAUCUAUGUCUUCAUGUUCCCACCUGAUGUUCUUCCAUUUACAGCAAUCUACUUGUUGGGUGAUAAUCUUGACAAUCAUAAAACCUUUCAGGUCUGCCUAUCUGUUGAUGGUGAUUCUAGCAAAGGUAAUGAUGCAGCAAAAAUGAUGGGAGCGACUCUUCUCGAGAUAUCUUGCAAGUUUGUGCCCGCUUUCCAGAAUCUGAGAAACUAAAACUCAUGAGUAUUUUGUUGUGUUUAUUAUCACAGCGGACACCACAAUUCUAAAGCUGUUACGACUCGGGAGAUGAGUGCCUGAUGGUACUGUUGCUGCAUGUCGGCCAGCCCUAUCAGUAUCGAUCUGCCGUUUUGGGCUACAGCUAAGCUUUGCUACUGCUCUAAAUUGCAGUCUUUUGACCAACCGUGUUACCAAUGAUCAAUAAAUUUUCCCUUCCAGCAUUGCCUUAAUUGUCUCUACUCUGGCACUGCAAGGUUUGGUUGUCAAUUUUGUGGUAGUCAUUUUGCAACAGUGAGUAGUGGUUUCUUUUCAGAAAAGAGUAGUGUGUUGUUUGUGUGGGUGCACAUUAUUUAGAAUCUUAUUGUCGUUGCUUUCAAAAUAAGUAUCAUGGUGCCUGCCCACAUAUUCAGCUCAUAAUUUGUCGUUGCUUUCCACUUUGUUUAUACAGAUGUUUCUUCGUGCAAUGAAUUAGAAUUAAUCAUGAAAUAAUUUUCUUAAGAUUUCGUGAAGCUGCUCAUUGUUUAAUCUGGUCCGUGCUUAAUGCUUUGUUUAGCAUGUUGCUUAGCUGUGUUAAGUGCUUGGUCUUUGUUUAGCUUUGUGUUGUCAUUAGUGCAUGGUACUCAUUGUUUAUUGUGAUCAGUGCUUAAUACCUUGUUUACUGAACUUUGUUUGCUCCUACUUAAUUAAAAAGCUGAUGCCAGUGUUCAUUGUUUACUGAACUUUGCAAGUGGUGAUUGUUUAUUUGUUAAAAAUGGAUGUGUCAUGUGCUUGGUGUGCAUAACCCUUCACAAACCUCUUUAAUAAACAUGUUAGGUUGUCGGCAGUAGCGACAUCAAAGGAUGGAGGGUGCGCCUGCUAUAACUCCGGCGGGACGCUAGAGCUCGUGGCGACGUUUACAGCGGUGUGCCUGGGUGCCAUGCAGGAUGGAUCUGACUCUGUGGCCGAGAUGACGAGGACCAACUGAGGGGGGCUCGACAAGGCGGCGCUGCCAGCCAUGCCGGUGUUCAGAUUCAUCCCGUCCGCGAUGGGUUGUUAGUUGGUACUCCCUCCGUUCCAAAAUAGAUUGUACUGGCUUUGUAAUAAAAUUAGUACAAAGUUGAGUCAUCUAUUUUAAAACGGAGGGAGUAGCUGCUGCAUACGUGUUGCUUGAUUGUUUUUCCUUACUAGAAGCGUGGGUGCCUACCGCUGCUUGAUGGUUAGCCAUCGAGUUCAUAAUUUUCUGUGUUAGCUUGCUUCAGUUGGAACCGAUAUUGUUUUGACAUGAUUAGUAUAUCGUAAUACUACUUGCCUUUUGCAUAUGCACCCGUUAAUGUCUAUAAUGUGAUUCUCUUCUAGAUAAAUUUGCAUUUCUGCUGCUUUGAUCUGUUGAAAAUGUCACUUAAAGCACAUUCAUUACUUACUUAGUAAAAAGAAAGACCUUGGAAGCGGCGCGCCCCAACUACUAGUUUCCUUCAUUUUCUGGGUUUGUACCUGCAGGAAGAGUGAGGCAUGAACACGCCGCAACUUUCCCCGACAUCGGCCACAUCGCCGUCCAAUCCAUCAAGGAAGGUCGAGAGCAGAGGCCUGUGGUUCCAUCUCGCCGACUCCAUGGCCGUCCGGGAUGCAUUCCGGUUCCACGGGAUCAACCAAGCAUGGCACCUUCAAGCAGAUGCAGCUCUGCUUCCAGAUUCUGAGUAGGCAGGCUAACG
Triticum urartu is the source of this 4014-nucleotide non-coding RNA. The record is from RefSeq and is a predicted model, not a curated record. NCBI's taxonomy places the organism in Eukaryota, Viridiplantae, Streptophyta, Magnoliopsida, Poales, Poaceae.